CCCGCUCCAGUGACGCAGCACAGCUCCGUGCGCACAGAUGCUGGAGUGGAAGCGACAUGCGCGCUCAUCUCGGUGGGACUGAACGCAUCGAAAACCGGAGACGGGAGCGAAGAUUGCCCGGUUUGCGUCCGUUAUGAGCCUCAGACCGCGCGGAACGAUGCUCAGAAUGAGUCACUCCGCGGGGAACAGGACUUAAAAAGCUCCGGUCCAUCCAUCUGGACACUUUUUACCCUCAACCCUUCCCCUUUGAUAGAAAGAUAAGAAUCCAGGCAGUCAUCUUCCAGUUUACAGCCCUCUUUGGGUAUCUAACCCCAGUUUAAAGACCAGUCUCGGUUUGAUUUUAGCACGAUGUGGAAGACCGGGAUCCUCAUGCUGCUGUGGGUGUUUCUGGCGUCCGGCGAACUCCAACAAGAGACGGAGCCGCGGAGACUCCCACCCCCGGGAAAGUUGGAUUUCGGUUAUGUGCCUGCGGGAGUUUACGAGACUCUGGCCCAUUACGAACCGGGACCCAUAGGGAUCUUGUUCCAUAUGGUGCACGUUUUUCUGCAUGUCGUGCAACCCAACCCUUUCCCACAAGAUCUUAUUGUCAAACUGGCAAAGGACAAGUUUGGAGCCAUUCAGACUGAAUACCAAAAGCCAGAGAACAUAGUGCUGACCCUCCAGGCCAUCUACUACGAGAUAGGCUUCCUAGUAUGUGCGGCAGUCGGCCUGCUGUUUGCCGUUUUGGUGCCGAUAGCUGGCCUCUUCUUCUGCAUGUGCCGCUGCUGUGACAACUGCGGCGGCGAGAUGCACCAACGCCAGAGGAAGAACGCAGACUGCCGGCGUGGCCUGCUGGGAACACUACUCUUCGCCACCUCACUGGUCAUCACGAUCGGAGUGUUGUGUGCAUAUGCUGCCAAUCAAAACCUGAGCUCUCAGGUGAAGAACAUACGGAGAUUGGUCAACAGCAACAUGAGGGACCUCCACACCUUCGCUAACGAUACACCAAUGCAAAUUGAUUACCUAAUAUCCCAAUACGCCACAGCCAAGAACAAAGUCAUCUAUGACCUAGAUAAUAUAGGUCCAUUAUUAGGUGGAAGGAUACACGAUCAGUUGGAUAAGGAGGUCCAUCCUGCCUUGGACAGAGUGCUCAAUAUGGCUGGAGUGAAAAUCGAGAGAGCCAUCAAAGCCAUGCGAGAAACCAAGGAGGCCCUGGAGAACGUCAGUGCGGGUCUAGAGGUACUGCAGGUAGGAACAGGGAAACUCAACUUCAACCUGAGCCUGGUCCGGACCAGUAUCAACCGCACCCUCAAUGACCCGGGCUGUCAUGACGAGGAGUCAGACGCCACCUCUGCCCAGCUGUGCCGCAACAUUCGCCAGUCUCUGUUCCAGCUGCAGAUCAGUGCCAACUUCACACGGUUACCAAACGUGAAUGCUCAACUGGAAAAGGUGAACCAUGUCAUGAAAACGGACCUCAGUGCUAUUGUCCAGAGGGGCUACUCUUCUUUAAACGACACGCCACAUACGGUGAUUGAACAGACCAGAGGUGUUGUGGAGAGUGUACAGAGUUUGGUGGACGACAUUGGCAAAAACAUCAGCAGCUAUUCCAAGGUAUUCCCUGUGCAGAGUUCCCUGUCCAACUUCACUAUCUUCAUUAGCCAUGUCCAUGCCAAGAUUGAAGACUACUACCCUGAAAUUGACAGAAUGGACUUCUACAGGUGGAUUGGCUGUAUUGCUCUUUGCUGCAUGGUGGUCCUGGUCCUGGCCUUUAACUACCUGGGCCUCCUGUGUGGCACCUUGGGAUACGACAAGCACGCCUCACCUACGACACGAGGCUGCAUCUCCAACACAGGAGGAACAAUGCUCGUGGCCGGCGUUGGAUUUAGCAUCAUCUUCUCCUGGGUGCUGAUGGGAGUGGUGACCACCAUCUUCUUGGCUGGAGGAAACAUGGAGAAACUCGUCUGUGAUCCCUUCAACACCAAAGAAGUCUUCAAGGUUGUGGACACCCCAUAUCUGGUCAACCCGGAUUGGAGAAACUUCAUCCCUGGCUACAUGUACAACGACUCCGACCUAGAGCUGACGGCAGAGAGCUUAUACAGUACUUGCAAAGAGAACAAAGGCAUCUACUCAGCCAUGCGUCUGGACAAAGUCUUCAACAUCUCCUUGUUCCUGAACACUACAGUGUUUACAAAGGAUGUGGUGAGCCAUCUGGACAGUGUUAAGAUCGAUCUCAGGGGAAUAACCCUGUUAGAGAAAGAGGGGAAGCAGAACCUUCUGGAUUUCUCUGAAGCAGGGCUGUCAGAAAUCAACUAUGCAGACUACCUGGAAGAGGUCAACAAAGGGGUCACUGUGAUUGAUCUUCUCACAUUUGCCAGAGAGCUGGAGGCCCAGACAGAUCUCAUGCCCAGAGGUGCUCUGCAGACUUCUCUGAAAGGCCACGUCGGUACUCUGCGGCAGAUCCACAGUCAACAGAUCAUCCCCAUGGAGCAGGCCAUGAAAUAUGUUAGAGCAAGGAGCGCACUGAACCAGAGUAUAAGGUUCCUGGAAAGAACAGCCUCAGACCUGCCAAACAAAGUUUUAGCAGUUCUCGAUGCCAUCAAAGCUGCCCAGUAUCUCAUCUCCCAGAAUGCUACACAUUUAAUCAAUCGGGAAACCGAAAAAUACACAGCGACCAUUGUUGGCUACUUCCGUCAAUACAUAGAAUGGGUCAAAACAUCUUUGGUGAUGGAUGUCGCACCAUGCAAGCCCUUCAGCAACAUGGUUGACACGGCAGAGAUCAUUGUUUGCAAUUUUUUGGUUGACUCCAUGAACACAUUCUGGAUGGGUAUGGGCUGCAGCACUCUCUUCCUUCUCCCGAGCAUCAUUCUCGCAGUAAAACUAGCCAAGUACUACCGCAGGAUGGACACAGAGGAUGUUUACGAUGACAUUGAGACAAUUCCCAUGAAAACUAUGGAAAUUGGUAAUAAUGGUUAUCAUAGUGAGAGCUCACAAGGUAUCCCAAAUCCUAUGAUGACAAGCAUCCCUACCUAUGACACUAUGAACAGGUUCCCGCGGGCCUCGGCUCCUCCGAGGCACAUCGACUGGUGACAGAGAGCUGGCUCUUGUUCUGGCUCCUGAAAGGUACUGAAAACCUUUGCAGCAGACCACUGUUGCUCUAACGCUGUCUCAUUUAAUCUCUUCCUUCUAAUCUUGAAUCUCACUUUUGCACAGCUGUCAUCUGGUCCUGCUGUUUGUCUGUCACCACCAAACUCAUCCAUCUUUCUCCUGUUUUUUUAAUCGGAUUUCUUUUUACUUCUUAUGUAACCAAACUGUAACACUUCUUUACAGCUUGUUUUAGGGCUUUUCUGCUCAUAAUGACUUUUCAGGAAAACCAUCACGCAAUCAACUCAACCUCCUCAACCAGGCAGAUUAAAGCCUCAUGCAGUUACCUGCUCCCCCCUGCCUGCAGGACAUCAAACUAUUCUCCCUAAGCAUCAAUCUGAGCCACGCUUGCUCUGCUUUUUUUUUUUCCUUGAAGGACUGCUGUGUCUGCGUUUACAUUGGUUCGGACACAAACCCAACCUGAAAAAUAUAUCAGCAACAGGACAUGACAAUAACUGGGAUGCCUGUUCAUAUUAAUGUACUUAUUUGUGCUUAAGAAGACAGUGGCUGAAAGGUCAUCCGAAGGUCACGGUAAGCUGCUAGAGGAAACUUUUUCUUCUGCACUCAGAAUGGACGUAACACAUUCAACAGAUGUUAAUACUAUAAGUGGGAAAGUCUGUCAUUACAUCUGCAAAGCAAAAGUGCAAAUUAACAUGAAAUUGAAUGUGUUAAAAAGCACUGUUGGUUGGGAAUGGCACAUCCUUUUUGACUGCAGCAUGUGUGAGUUGGUAUGUGUCAGUGUUCCUUAACGACUGAGAACGGGGUGAUUUGAACAAAGAUAAAAAUAUAAGAAGAGGAUGGUCCCAGGUGGAUGUGUGACUAAUAUAAAGAAAUUUAACAUCAUUUACAAAAGAAAAAAAAAUGUUUACAAUAUUACAAUACAUCCAGACAUCUUUGUUGGUUUUUGGGCGAAUUGCAAAUGACAGGUUGCCUUUCAGAAGUUUUUUUUCCCCACACUGGUUUUUGACACAUAUGCUCCUUCUCAUAAGGGAAAAUCCACCAACCGAUGCUCUUACACUAUUAUUAUCGGCCACUAACACUAUACAUGAUGUUUAAAAUCGCCUCUUUUUUAACAUACCCAUUUUCCCCAGUGUAAUCUACUUUCGUGCCAGGUCUUCAUUUCCUACAUUUCCCAGAAUGCCUUUAAACAACUCUGAAAAUGAUAAUAAAAAUAAUUAUAGACAUUAAUAUGAAUGCAUGUUCAAAGCGUAACAUGGCUUGUUGCCGCAUUCUGAUUUAAUGUCAAUGUCCGGGGCUGCUAAUUUGUUUUAACAUUUAACAAACUGUUGGCACUAAAUUCCGACUAAAUUUUGAACUAGUAGUUCUUUGCACAGAUUGAUUUAUUUGAAUAGUUUUUGACACCUUAAAAAAGAAAAAUCACAAAGAUUUGAGUACUCAGACAACAACAUUGUAUUAUGUGAACAAAAAUUCAUUUUAGCUUUUUCUUUCUUUGGGACCAUUCAGAUUUAUCCUCGGAUCAUUUAGGGAGCCUCACCCAGUUUGUGUAACACUGUUUUAGAAAGCCAAAAAGCACAUAUCUGACCACAAAUCCUGCCAUCAAGAUUUGGCCAUUAUUCCCAACAAUACACCACCAAACAGCAAAACCCAUCAACAAACGCAUCACCAAAUACAAUUUUACCUUUAAGUGUUUGAGGUGGAUUUUCCCUUUAAGUCAAAGCAUAACUUCUUAAUAUAUCACACACUAUGACACAGAUGUCAGAAUUAUAGAUUGCGUUCACUAACAUGACAUUUUUACUGAGAUCUUUCUUGCUUGCUUUUCAUAGUGAUGGUAAGUUUAAAGUGGAGAAAUACUUUCUCAAGCCAAAUUGUUUUUUUUACUGUAGGUCUUAUGUCUUUAGUGGUCUUUCAAUUAUGUGCUUAUUUUUUCUGCUUUUUAAAACCCCACAGUAGCUAUGGAUAAAUUGAAAGAAAAACUAUAUAGAACGAGUGAAUGUACUCAAGAGCUAUUUUUUAUUUUGUAUAAAUGAUAUUGGCUGAGGAAUAUGCUGAACUCUCAUCACUAACGCAUUGGGCAAGCCAAUGCAGUUCUCCCACCCGCCUCGCUUCAGUGUUUACAGGUUAGAUCUGCAGCGGCUGUCAGCGACGUAGUAAAGACGGUAAAACAUUAGACAAUCCGUUCAUGCGACAAUUCAAAUAGUAGAAAAGAAGUAGAAUGCUAUAUAGUUGAUGGUGUUGGUGCACACUG
This is an RNA transcript of Etheostoma spectabile (orangethroat darter), 5326 nucleotides long. It is a transcript of the gene named prominin 1a, with no coding region annotated. The transcript has 29 exons. The record is from RefSeq and is a predicted model, not a curated record. Lineage: Eukaryota; Metazoa; Chordata; Actinopteri; Perciformes; Percidae.